GACGAACGCUGGCGGCGUGCUUAACACAUGCAAGUCGAGCGGUAAGGCCCUUUCGGGGGUCCACGAGCGGCGAACGGGUGCGUAACACGUGAGCAACCUGCCCUUCACUUUGGGAUAACUGCCGGAAACGGUGGCUAAUACCGGAAAUGACUUCCUCACGCAUGUGGGGUGGUGGAAAGCGUACCGGGGGUGGGGGAUGGGCUCGCGGUCUAUCAGCUUGUGGGUGGGGUGAUGGCCUACCAAGGCUUCGCCGGGGAGCCGGCCUGAGGGGGUGACCGGCCACCCUGGGCCUGAGGCACGGCCCAGGCUCCUACGGGAGGCAGCAGUGGGGAAUAUUGGACAAUGGGCGCAAGCCUGAUCCAGCAACGCCGCGUGAGGUAUGACGGCCUUCGGGUUGUAAACCUCUUUCGCCUGCGACGAAGCGAGAGUGACGGUAGCAGGUAAAGAAGCACCGGCCAACUACGUG
This 466-nucleotide ribosomal RNA is filed under the name uncultured bacterium. RNAcentral's name for it is "partial 16S ribosomal RNA". It matches the Rfam family "Bacterial small subunit ribosomal RNA", at positions 28 to 507 of the family's 1533-position model. The record is from RNAcentral.